AACGUAGGUUCCGAGCGUUAUCCGGAUUUAUUGGGCGUAAAGAGCUUGUAGGCGGUUUGUCGCGUCUGCUGUGAAAUUUCGGGGCUCAACCCCGAACUUGCAGUGGGUACGGGCAGACUAGAGUGUGGUAGGGGAGACUGGAAUUCCUGGUGUAGCGGUGAAAUGCGCAGAUAUCAGGAGGAACACCGAUGGCGAAGGCAGGUCUCUGGGCCAUAACUGACGCUGAGAAGCGAAAGCAUGGGGAGCGAACAGG
Molecule: ribosomal RNA, 253 nt
Filed under: uncultured bacterium
Lineage: Bacteria
Description: partial 16S ribosomal RNA
Rfam family: Bacterial small subunit ribosomal RNA
Source: RNAcentral